This 87-nucleotide transfer RNA is filed under the name Bacillus velezensis. RNAcentral's name for it is "tRNA-Lys". It matches the Rfam family "tRNA". Rfam says of the family: Transfer RNA (tRNA) molecules are approximately 80 nucleotides in length. Their secondary structure includes four short double-helical elements and three loops (D, anti-codon, and T loops). The record is from RNAcentral. Lineage: Bacteria; Bacillati; Bacillota; Bacilli; Caryophanales; Bacillaceae.
GAGUCCUUCAUGGCUCACCAUGUUUUUCUUGCGGAUAUCUGACUUUUAAUCAGAGGGUCGAAGGUUCGAGUCCUUCAUGGCUCACCA